Molecule: long non-coding RNA, 217 nt
Filed under: Parus major (Great Tit)
Lineage: Eukaryota; Metazoa; Chordata; Aves; Passeriformes; Paridae
Description: lncRNA (ENSPMJG00000007443.1)
Source: RNAcentral
CAGUGGAAUCACGGCAGAAGAAGGCAGAAACCUCUUUGGAGGGUUAUUCCUGCUCCUCUUGGCAAAGCAGUCGGUGAUGGGGCUAGAAGUGGAGUAUCACUGUCUGAUUUAAAAUAUGUAAAAGACAUUCAGGACUCUGAAGGAGCUAAAGCUCAGGAAAAACCUCUUUGAAGUCACCAAAGCUGCCCAGGAAAGGGUGUCGAGCCUUUCUGGAGGA